CUUUAACUCCCUGAAUUGCCCACAAAGUCUCCACUCUGAUCAAAUGGGUUUAUUCAUCUGGUGAUAGAAAAGAGCCUGUACUUUGCUACCUUUCUGCCAUAGCACUUGCUGCCUCUCCAGGCUGGGAAGGCUGGAGAUCUCUUUCUCUUUCUCCCCACGGAUCAAAUCGAAUUCAGAAAUACUGGUAAGAGAUCAGCCUUGCCAUUUGCUCAGCACUGUACUUUGCACAUAGAAGGAGCUUGGUUGAAGACCAGGCGACGGCAAGAAGUAAAAGUGCAUCAGAUUAAAGGCUAUCCAGAAUACCUUAAAUCCUCCACCAAACAGUUCCUUUAGCACGCACUGGCUGUGCUGUGAUCAAGUCGUAUUCUCUGAGCACAACAAUAAAUACUUUUUAAAAUAAGUAUUCUUGCCCUGGCA
Molecule: long non-coding RNA, 417 nt
Organism: Myotis davidii
Lineage: Eukaryota; Metazoa; Chordata; Mammalia; Chiroptera; Vespertilionidae
Exons: 3
Source: RefSeq, a predicted model, not a curated record